UGGGGAAUAUUGGGCAAUGGAGGCAACUCUGGCCCAGCCAUGCCGCGUGGGUGACGAAGGUCUUCGGAUUGUAAAGCCCUUUCGGCGGGGACGAUGAUGACGGUACCCGCAGAAGAAGCCCCGGCUAACUUCGUGCCAGCAGCCGCGGUAAUACGUAGGUGGCAAGCGUUGUCCGGAUUUACUGGGCGUAAAGGGAGCGUAGGCGGACUUUUAAGUGAGAUGUGAAAUACCCGGGCUCAACCUGGGUGCUGCAUUUCAAACUGGAAGUCUAGAGUGCAGGAGAGGAGAGUGGAAUUCCUAGUGUAGCGGUGAAAUGCGUAGAGAUUAGGAAGAACACCAGUGGCGAAGGCGACUCUCUGGACUGUAACUGACGCUGAGGCUCGAAAGCGUGGGGAGCAAACA
Molecule: ribosomal RNA, 402 nt
Filed under: uncultured bacterium
Lineage: Bacteria
Description: bacterial SSU rRNA
Rfam family: Bacterial small subunit ribosomal RNA
Source: RNAcentral